AGUGAACGCUGGCGGUAGGCCUAACACAUGCAAGUCGAACGGCAGCACAGUAAGAGCUUGCUCUUACGGGUGGCGAGUGGCGGACGGGUGAGGAAUACAUCGGAAUCUACUUUUUCGUGGGGGAUAACGUAGGGAAACUGACGCUAAUACCGCAUACGACCUACGGGUGAAAUCAGGGGAUCUUCGGACCUUGCGCGAUUGAAUGAGCCGAUGUCGGAUUAGCUAGUUGGCGUGGUAAAGGCCCACCAAGGCGACGAUCCGUAGCUGGUCUGAGAGGAUGAUCAGCCACACUGGAACUGAGACACGGUCCAGACUCCUACGGGAGGCAGCAGUGGGGAAUAUUGGACAAUGGGCGCAAGCCUGAUCCAGCCAUACCGCGUGGGUGAAGAAGGCCUUCGGGUUGUAAAGCCCUUUUGUUGGGAAAGAAAAGAAGCAGGUUAAUCCCCCGCUGUUCUGACGGUACCCAAAGAAUAAGCAACGGCUAACUUCGUG
Molecule: ribosomal RNA, 492 nt
Filed under: uncultured bacterium
Lineage: Bacteria
Description: partial 16S ribosomal RNA
Rfam family: Bacterial small subunit ribosomal RNA
Source: RNAcentral